This 29-nucleotide non-coding RNA is filed under the name Homo sapiens (human). The record is from RNAcentral. Lineage: Eukaryota; Metazoa; Chordata; Mammalia; Primates; Hominidae.
UGCAAUUUGAUGCGAGGAGAUGUCUGGAC